GACGAACGCUGGCGGCGUGCUUAACACAUGCAAGUCGAGCGGUAAGGCCCUCGGGUACACGAGCGGCGAACGGGUGAGUAACACGUGGGUGACCUGCCUCUAGCUCUGGGAUAAGCCUGGGAAACUGGGUCUAAUACCGGAUAUGACUCCACGGCGCAUGUUGUGGGGUGGAAAGCCUUGUGUGGCUAGAGAUGGGCCCGCGGCCUAUCAGCUUGUUGGUGGGGUGGAUGGCCUACCAAGGCGACGACGGGUAGCCGGCCUGAGAGGGCGACGGCCACACUGGGACUGAGACACGGCCCAGAC
Molecule: ribosomal RNA, 303 nt
Filed under: uncultured bacterium
Lineage: Bacteria
Description: bacterial SSU rRNA
Rfam family: Bacterial small subunit ribosomal RNA
Source: RNAcentral